This 450-nucleotide ribosomal RNA is filed under the name uncultured bacterium. RNAcentral's name for it is "partial 16S ribosomal RNA". It matches the Rfam family "Bacterial small subunit ribosomal RNA", at positions 354 to 796 of the family's 1533-position model. The record is from RNAcentral.
GUGGGGAAUUUUGGACAAUGGGCGCAAGCCUGAUCCAGCAAUGCCGCGUGCAGGAAGAAGGCCUUCGGGUUGUAAACUGCUUUUGUACGGAACGAAACGGUCCUGGUUAAUACCCGGGGCUAAUGACGGUACCGUAAGAAUAAGCACCGGCUAACUACGUGCCAGCAGCCGCGGUAAUACGUAGGGUGCAAGCGUUAAUCGGAAUUACUGGGCGUAAAGCGUGCGCAGGCGGUGCUGUAAGACAGGCGUGAAAUCCCCGGGCUUAACCUGGGAAUUGCGGUUGUGACUGCAGUGCUGGGGUGCGGCAGAGGGGGAUGGAAUUCCGCGUGUAGCAGUGAAAUGCGUAGAUAUGCGGAGGAACACCGAUGGCGAAGGCAAUCCCCUGGGCCUGCACUGACGCUCAUGCACGAAAGCGUGGGGAGCAAACAGGAUUAGAUACCCCGGUAGUCC